Molecule: non-coding RNA, 566 nt
Organism: Hydra vulgaris (swiftwater hydra)
Lineage: Eukaryota; Metazoa; Cnidaria; Hydrozoa; Anthoathecata; Hydridae
Source: RefSeq, a predicted model, not a curated record
AAAAAAAAAAAAAAAAUUUGAGAUAUGAUAUUAUUUUCAGGAUAAGCUUUUAGGUUUGAUAGCUAAUACAUUAAGACAGCAAAAUGGACUAAGUCAAACAAAGCCAGUCCAAAAUUUGGACAACUUUCUAAAUCCAAAAAAUCAUCUUCUUUGUUGGCGUUAGUAAAUUCAGCUGAACCUGUUUUAAGUAAAGAACAGUUACUUUAUGAAGUUGAGAUUGAGCUGAUGAAGAAUAAGCCUUCAACGCAAAUUUUGGCAAUUAUCUACAUCUCUUCUUAUAAGCGAUUUUUGCAGGCUUUAUCCCAUGUUUGCAGGUUUCGAAUGUAAUUCUAAAGAGUUUUGCGAUUUAGUUUUUUCCGAUGGGUCGGUUUUUUGAAAUUUAAUAAAAUUUCAAAGUGAUGUUUCCUGUAAAAAGUCUUCUUCCAAUGCUUUCAAUGCAACUCAGUCUGAUAAUCUGGAUGAAAUGCAGGGAGAAUCGAUACCUGGUCCACAAGUAGUAUUCAAUGAAACCCAUUUUAUGAUUCGUAGCAAAAAUGGAUGUGAGCUGAAGAAAGCACCGAUUUCAU